AUUGAACGCUGGCGGCAUGCCUUACACAUGCAAGUCGAACGGCAGCGCGGGGCAACCUGGCGGCGAGUGGCGAACGGGUGAGUAAUAUAUCGGAACAUACCCUAGAGUGGGGGAUAACGUAGCGAAAGUUACGCUAAUACCGCAUACGAUCUAAGGAUGAAAGCGGGGGAUCUUCGGACCUCGCGCUCAUGGAGUGGCCGAUAUCUGAUUAGCUAGUUGGUAGGGUAAAAGCCUACCAAGGCGACGAUCAGUAGCUGGUUUGAGAGAACGACCAGCCACACUGGAACUGAGACACGGUCCAGACUCCUACGGGAGGCAGCAGUGGGGAAUUUUGGACAAUGGGGGCAACCCUGAUCCAGCAAUGCCGCGUGAGUGAAGAAGGCCCUCGGGUUGUAAAGCUCUUUUGUCAGGGAAGAAACGGUGUUUCCUAAUACGGAAUGCUAAUGACGGUACCUGAAGAAUAAGCACCGGCUAACUACGUGC
Molecule: ribosomal RNA, 483 nt
Filed under: uncultured beta proteobacterium
Lineage: Bacteria; Pseudomonadati; Pseudomonadota; Betaproteobacteria
Description: bacterial SSU rRNA
Rfam family: Bacterial small subunit ribosomal RNA
Source: RNAcentral